This 439-nucleotide ribosomal RNA is filed under the name uncultured bacterium. Its description in RNAcentral is "partial 16S ribosomal RNA". It matches the Rfam family "Bacterial small subunit ribosomal RNA", at positions 339 to 795 of the family's 1533-position model. The record is from RNAcentral.
CUACGGGUUGCAGCAGUGGGGAAUAUUGCACAAUGGAGGAAACUCUGAUGCAGCAACGCCGCGUGGAGGAUGACACUUUUCGGAGCGUAAACUCCUUUUAUAUAGGAAGAAGAUGACGGUACUAUAUGAAUAAGCGCCGGCUAACUCCGUGCCAGCAACCGCGGUAAUACGGAGGGCGCAAGCGUUACUCGGAAUCACUGGGCGUAAAGAGCGUGUAGGCGGAUUAAAAAGUCAGAAGUGAAACCCUAUAGCUUAACUAUAGAACUGCUUCUGAAACUCUUAAUCUAGAAUAUGGGAGAGGUAGAUGGAAUUUCUGGUGUAGGGGUAAAAUCCGUAGAGAUCAGAAGGAAUACCGAUUGCGAAGGCGAUCUACUAGAACAUUAUUGACGCUGAGACGCGAAAGCGUGGGGAGCAAACAGGAUUAGAUACCCCCGUAGUC